CCUGCUGCAGUUCAGUCAGCCUCACAGUAAAAGCACCAGAGGAUUUUCUGGGACAGGAUAAUGGAAAGAGUGAGGACAUUGUCACCUUGGUGUGAGGAAAGCUGCCUAAGCAGAAUUGAGUGAUUCGAGGGCACUUGUUGAGCUUGAUGUUCAUGCUGAGGAUGUUCUUGCAUCUCUGUCACACAAACAUUGCACCCAAAAAGCUAAAGUUGAAUCGAGCUCAAGGAAAGUUAAAAAUUUCUAUGGAUGGUCUAAGAAAGAAAGAAACAAACCUGAGGGAGGUUCAAGAUAAAUUUGCUCUACUCCAGCAGACACAGGAAUCCAAGAAACAAGAGAAAGCUGACUUGGAAAAUCAGUCUGCAUUUGCUGGUAUCAGCUUAUGUUGAAAAUGUAGCCUGGCUCCAUCUCCCUUGGGCCUUCAGAAGUGACUGAGCCAGGUAGAAAUUCGGGAGCUCAGCAAUUCUUCCAGUACAUUUUUGAGCCACUGCUGAACACUGUUCUGUGCUGUGAGAUUCUCUUUCUAUCACUGCUGAUGCUUCUGCCUCAGCUGACAUUUUCAGGCUUCCAAUCCCUAUUGCUUCUCCAGACCUAUGGUGUUACCAAAUUUUCCCUUAUCUGUGUUAAUCAAAUUACUCAAAAUCCUUGUGAUUUUACAAAGUUCACACAAUAUCAUGCUGUGUUGGUGGGCUACAAAUGUAUUUCCUCCAUCUCUCAAUGCAUUUUACC
Molecule: RNA transcript, 726 nt
Organism: Catharus ustulatus (Swainson's thrush)
Lineage: Eukaryota; Metazoa; Chordata; Aves; Passeriformes; Turdidae
Gene: DNAH7
Gene name: dynein axonemal heavy chain 7
Exons: 4
Source: RefSeq, a predicted model, not a curated record